RNAcentral lists this ribosomal RNA (465 nucleotides) under uncultured bacterium. RNAcentral's name for it is "partial 16S ribosomal RNA". It matches the Rfam family "Bacterial small subunit ribosomal RNA", at positions 28 to 505 of the family's 1533-position model. The record is from RNAcentral.
GAUGAACGCUGGCGGCGUGCUUAACACAUGCAAGUCGAACGGAAAGGCCCAAGCUUGCUUGGGUACUCGAGUGGCGAACGGGUGAGUAACACGUGGGUGAUCUGCCCUGCACUUCGGGAUAAGCCUGGGAAACUGGGUCUAAUACCGGAUAGGACCACAUUUUGGAUGGUGUGGUGGAAAGUUUUUCGGUGGGGGAUGGGCUCGCGGCCUAUCAGCUUGUUGGUGGGGUAAUGGCCUACCAAGGCGUCGACGGGUAGCCGGCCUGAGAGGGUGUACGGCCACAUUGGGACUGAGAUACGGCCCAGACUCCUACGGGAGGCAGCAGUGGGGAAUAUUGCACAAUGGGCGCAAGCCUGAUGCAGCGACGCCGCGUGGGGGAUGACGGCCUUCGGGUUGUAAACUCCUUUCGCUAGGGACGAAGCGUUUUUGUGACGGUACCUGGAGAAGAAGCACCGGCUAACUACG